This is a long non-coding RNA of Photinus pyralis (common eastern firefly), 483 nucleotides long. RefSeq lists it as uncharacterized. The transcript has 3 exons. NCBI's taxonomy places the organism in Eukaryota, Metazoa, Arthropoda, Insecta, Coleoptera, Lampyridae. The record is from RefSeq and is a predicted model, not a curated record.
AUCUCCAAGUCAUGUCAUAAGCACCUUUUAUAUCGAAGAAGACCGCAACCAGAUGUUCACCACUGUCAAAUGCCCUCAGAAUUCUGUCUGUCAGUUUGACCAGAUGGUCUACCGUUGACCGUCCUUUCCGAAAACCAGUUUGGUAAGGCACGUAUACGUUAUUGCUUUCGAGAAAUGUUUGUAGCCGCACAUUAACCAUUUUUUCUAGCAGUUUUCCCAAGCAAGAUGUCAAACUAAUUGGGCGAUAACUUUGUGCCUGCAACGGAUCUUUUCCUGGUUUCGGUAUAGGAAUUACGAUGGCUUGCUUCCAUUCUGAGGGAACUACAGUGGCGAAGCAUCUGGUUAUGGAUAGCGUCUUCUCCCGGUGAACAUGACUUGGUGUUACGGAUUGCUGCCUCCAAUUCUUCUACAGUAAAAGGUUUGGUAUCUAGAAAGGUGUUGGAAUAGUUUGACGAGCUACUGACUUUAUAGAACUGAUCUGCA